Molecule: unclassified non-coding RNA, 300 nt
Rfam family: Eukaryotic small subunit ribosomal RNA (bases 1-46)
AAGUCGUAACAAGGUUUCCGUAGGUGAACCUGCGGAAGGAUCAUUAACACGUGUCACCACGUAUUAUACCCCAUACCAAUGAGAACCCGUUAAUCGCGCCCCUUUGGAUAGAAUGAAUGGGAAUCAGUCCAGUGUAGUGAGUGGGACCGAGAGGUCAGCCUGGCUGUUACAUACUGCUACUCGACGCGUAAUUGCUGACGGGGCGACCAUUGUAUCUAUUUGUAAGGCUUAUUCUUAUUUUCCAAUCUCCACCCAUGAUUGAGUUAGUAGGAUCAUUUUAAACCCAUUUCACCCAAUUUU